Long non-coding RNA from Monodelphis domestica (gray short-tailed opossum), 131 nucleotides. NCBI's taxonomy places the organism in Eukaryota, Metazoa, Chordata, Mammalia, Didelphimorphia, Didelphidae. The record is from Ensembl.
UGGUGGACAGUGUGAAUGGGUCAUCAAAAUACAAAGGCAAGACAAAAGUCAGAAUAAAUGUGAUGGUCUGGGAUGCAGUGGAUGACUUUGGCUUCUUCAAAAUCUAACCCAGAUCCAUGUGCUCUAUAGCU